RNAcentral lists this ribosomal RNA (497 nucleotides) under uncultured bacterium. Its description in RNAcentral is "partial 16S ribosomal RNA". It matches the Rfam family "Bacterial small subunit ribosomal RNA", at positions 28 to 507 of the family's 1533-position model. The record is from RNAcentral.
GAUGAACGCUGGCGGCGUGCCUAAUACAUGCAAGUCGAGCGAACGGACGAGAAGCUUGCUUCUCUGAUGUUAGCGGCGGACGGGUGAGUAACACGUGGAUAACCUACCUAUAAGACUGGGAUAACUUCGGGAAACCGGAGCUAAUACCGGAUAAUAUUUUGAACCGCAUGGUUCAAAAGUGAAAGACGGUCUUGCUGUCACUUAUAGAUGGAUCCGCGCUGCAUUAGCUAGUUGGUAAGGUAACGGCUUACCAAGGCAACGAUGCAUAGCCGACCUGGGAGGGUGAUAGGCCACACUGGAACUGAGACACGGUCCAGACUCCUACGGGAGGCAGCAGUAGGGAAUCUUCCGCAAUGGGCGAAAGCAUGACGGAGCAACGCCGCGUGAGUGAUGAAGGUCUUCGGAUCGUAAAACUCUGUUAUUAGGGAAGAACAUAUGUGUAAGUAACUGUGCACAUCUUGACGGUACCUAAUCAGAAAGCCACGGCUAACUACGUG